RNAcentral lists this non-coding RNA (29 nucleotides) under Rattus norvegicus (Norway rat). The record is from RNAcentral. Lineage: Eukaryota; Metazoa; Chordata; Mammalia; Rodentia; Muridae.
UGACAGCCACAAGGUUCCGGAAUAGAUAC